UUUAGUUUAAUGUGGUGUUGAUGCAUUGUGGGGUUUGGUCUCAUAGGCGGAUAGUUUCCUGUUUUUU
RNAcentral lists this transfer RNA (67 nucleotides) under Khawia sinensis. RNAcentral describes it as "tRNA-Gln". The record is from RNAcentral. Lineage: Eukaryota; Metazoa; Platyhelminthes; Cestoda; Caryophyllidea; Lytocestidae.